This 86-nucleotide transfer RNA is filed under the name bacterium. RNAcentral describes it as "tRNA-Ser". It matches the Rfam family "tRNA". Rfam says of the family: Transfer RNA (tRNA) molecules are approximately 80 nucleotides in length. Their secondary structure includes four short double-helical elements and three loops (D, anti-codon, and T loops). The record is from RNAcentral.
GCUAGCAUGGCGGAAUUGGUAGACGCGCUGUCUUGGAAAGGCAGUCCUCUCUGAGGGUGCAGGUUCAAGUCCUGUUGUUAGCGCCA